This 253-nucleotide unclassified non-coding RNA is filed under the name uncultured Nocardioidaceae bacterium. RNAcentral's name for it is "contains 16S-23S intergenic spacer region". It matches the Rfam family "Bacterial small subunit ribosomal RNA", at positions 524 to 776 of the family's 1533-position model. The record is from RNAcentral. Lineage: Bacteria; Bacillati; Actinomycetota; Actinomycetes; Propionibacteriales; Nocardioidaceae.
UACGUAGGGUGCGAGCGUUGUCCGGAAUUAUUGGGCGUAAAGGGCUCGUAGGCGGUUUGUCGCGUCGGGAGUGAAAACACUGGGCUUAACUCAGUGCUUGCUUCCGAUACGGGCAGACUAGAGGUAUUCAGGGGAGAACGGAAUUCCUGGUGUAGCGGUGAAAUGCGCAGAUAUCAGGAGGAACACCGGUGGCGAAGGCGGUUCUCUGGGAAUUACCUGACGCUGAGGAGCGAAAGUGUGGGGAGCGAACAGG